Molecule: ribosomal RNA, 406 nt
Filed under: uncultured bacterium
Lineage: Bacteria
Description: partial 16S ribosomal RNA
Rfam family: Bacterial small subunit ribosomal RNA
Source: RNAcentral
AUUGAACGCUGGCGGCAGGCCUAACACAUGCAAGUCGAGCGAGCGGCGGACGGGUGAGUAAUGUCUGGGAAACUGCCUGAUGGAGGGGGAUAACUACUGGAAACGGUAGCUAAUACCGCAUACCCUCAGGUGUGCCCAGAGGGGAUUAGCUAGUAGGUGGGGUAACGGCUCACCUAGGCGACGCUCCCUCGCUGGGCUGGGAGGAUGACAAGCCAAACUGGAACUGUGAGACGGUCAAGACGCCUACGGGAGGCAGCAGUGGGGAAGAUGGCACAAUGGGCGCAAGCCUGAUGCAGCCAUGCCGCGUGUGUGAAGAAGGCAUUCGGGUUGUAAAGCACUUUCAGCGGGGAGGCGUUACCCGCAGAAGAAGCACCGGCUAACUCCGUGCCAGCAGCCGCGGUAAUUC